GAUGAACGCUGGCGGCGUGCCUAAUACAUGCAAGUCGAGCGAACAGACGAGGAGCUUGCUCCUCUGACGUUAGCGGCGGACGGGUGAGUAACACGUGGAUAACCUACCUAUAAGACUGGGAUAACUUCGGGAAACCGGAGCUAAUACCGGAUAAUAUAUUGAACCGCAUGGUUCAAUAGUGAAAGACGGUUUUGCUGUCACUUAUAGAUUGAUCCGCGCCGCAUUAGCUAGUUGGUAAGGUAACGGCUUACCAAGGCAACGAUGCGUAGCCGACCUGAGAGGGUGAUCGGCCACACUGGAACUGAGACACGGUCCAGACUCCUACGGGAGGCAGCAGUAGGGAAUCUUCCGCAAUGGGCGAAAGCCUGACGGAGCAACGCCGCGUGAGUGAUGAAGGUCUUCGGAUCGUAAAACUCUGUUAUUAGGGAAGAACAAAUGUGUAAGUAAAUAUGCACGUCUUGACGGUACCUAAUCAGAAAGCCACGGCUAACUACGUG
RNAcentral lists this ribosomal RNA (497 nucleotides) under uncultured bacterium. RNAcentral describes it as "partial 16S ribosomal RNA". It matches the Rfam family "Bacterial small subunit ribosomal RNA", at positions 28 to 507 of the family's 1533-position model. The record is from RNAcentral.